AGAGUUUGAUCAUGGCUCAGAACGAACGCUGGCGGCGCGCCUUACACAUGCAAGUCGAACGAGAAAGCUCCUUCGGGAGUGAGUAAAGUGGCGCACGGGUGAGUAACGCGUGAGUAAUCUACCCUCAGGCGGGGGAUAACGGCCCGACGCUAAUACCGCAUGAGACCACAGUAACUACGGUUACAGUGGCUAAAGGCUUCGGCCACCUGGGGAUGAGCUCGCGUCCCAUUAGCUAGUUGGUGGGGUAAUGGCCUACCAAGGCUACGAUGGGUAACUGGUCUUAGAGGAUGAUCAGUCACACUGGAACUGAAACACGGUCCAGACUCCUACGGGAGGCAGCAGUGGGGAAUCUUGCGCAAUGGACGAAAGUCUGACGCAGCGACGCCGCGUGAACGAUGAAGGUUUUCGGAUCGUAAAGCCUUGUGGGAGAGGGAAGAACAACCGGUGGGAAUAAUACCCUGUUGGUCUGACGGUACCUCUUCAGAAAGCACCGGCUAACUCCGUGCCAGCAGCCGCGGUAAUACGGAGGGUGCGAACGUUGUUCGGAAUUACUGGGCGUAAAGCGCGUGUAGGCGGCUUGGCAAGUUAGAUGUGAAAGCCCUCGGCUCAACCCCGGAAGUGCAUUGGAAACUGGCCAACUUGAGUACGGGAGAGGAAAGUGGAAUUUCGAGUGUAGGGGUGAAAUCCGUAGAUAUUCGAAGGAACACCAGUGGCGAAGGCGGCUUUCUGGACCGAUACUGACGCUGAGAUGCGAAAGCGUGGGGAGCAAACAGGAUUAGAUACCCUGGUAGUCCACGCCGUAAACGAUGGGUACUAGGUGUUGCGGGUAUUGACCCCUGCAGUGCCAAAGCUAACGCAUUAAGUACCCCGCCUGGGGAGUACGGCCGCAAGGCUAAAACUCAAAGGAAUUGACGGGGGCCCGCACAAGCGGUGGAGCAUGUGGUUUAAUUCGACGCAACGCGAAGAACCUUACCUGGCUUGACAUCCCGAUCGCACCCCUUGGAAACUUGGGGGUCAGCUUGGCUGGAUCGGUGACAGGUGCUGCAUGGCUGUCGUCAGCUCGUGUCGUGAGAUGUUGGGUUAAGUCCCGCAACGAGCGCAACCCUUGUCCUUAGUUGACAUCCGUAAUGGUGGGCACUCUUAGGAGACUGCCGGUGUCAAACCGGAGGAAGGUGGGGAUGACGUCAAGUCCUCAUGGCCCUUAUGCCCAGGGCUACACACGUACUACAAUGGCCGGUACAAAGAGGCGCUAACCCGCGAGGGCACGCAAAUCUCAAAAAGCCGGUCUCAGUUCGGAUUGGAGUCUGCAUCUCGACUCCAUGAAGGCGGAAUCGCUAGUAAUCGCGGAUCAGCAUGCCGCAGUGAAUACGUUCCCGGGCCUUGUACACACCGCCCGUCACACCAUGAGAGUCGACUACUCCAGAAGUCGUUGAGCGAACCUUCGGGAAGCAGGCGCCCAAGGAGUGGUUGGUAACUGGGGUGAAGUCGUAACAAGGUA
This 1498-nucleotide ribosomal RNA is filed under the name uncultured prokaryote. Its description in RNAcentral is "partial 16S ribosomal RNA". It matches the Rfam family "Bacterial small subunit ribosomal RNA". The record is from RNAcentral.